UGGGGAAUAUUGCACAAUGGGCGCAAGCCUGAUGCAGCCAUGCCGCGUGUAUGAAGAAGGCCUUCGGGUUGUAAAGUACUUUCAGUCGGGAGGAAGGUGGUAAGGUUAAUAACCUUAUCAAUUGACGUUACCGACAGAAGAAGCACCGGCUAACUCCGUGCCAGCAGCCGCGGUAAUACGGAGGGUGCAAGCGUUAAUCGGAAUUACUGGGCGUAAAGCGCACGCAGGCGGUUGAUUGAGUCAGAUGUGAAAUCCCCGGGCUUAACCCGGGAAUUGCAUCUGAUACUGGUCAGCUAGAGUCUUGUAGAGGGGGGUAGAAUUCCAUGUAUAGCGGUGAAAUGCGUAGAGAUGUGGAGGAAUACCGGUGGCGAAGGCGGCCCCCUGGACAAAGACUGACGCUCAGGUGCGAAAGCGUGGGGAGCAAACAGG
Molecule: ribosomal RNA, 429 nt
Filed under: Chloroflexota bacterium
Lineage: Bacteria; Bacillati; Chloroflexota
Description: Chloroflexi bacterium partial 16S ribosomal RNA
Rfam family: Bacterial small subunit ribosomal RNA
Source: RNAcentral